GCGAGUCUAAAGGGCUUCGGUCCUUGGCUGACGGCUCAGUAACACGCGGAUAACCUGCCCUAGGGUGGGGGAUAAUCUCGAGAAAUUGAGCAUAAUACCCCAUAGGUCUAGAAUGCUGGAAUGCCUCUAGACUGAAAGCCCCGGCGCCCUAGGAUGGGUCUGCGGCCUAUCAGGUUGUAGUGGGUGUAACGGACCCACUAGCCUUCGACGGGUACGGGCCUUGAGAGAGGUAGCCCGGAGAUGGACUCUGAGACACGAGUCCAGGCCCUACGGGGCGCAGCAGGCGCGAAAACUUCGCAAUGUGGGAAACCACGACGAGGGGAUUCCAAGUGCCAAUGCACUGCAUUGGCUGUUCAUGUGCCUAAAAAGCACGUGAAGUAAGGGCUGGGUAAGACGGGUGCCAGCCGCCGCGGUAAUACCCGCAGCCCGAGUGGUGAUCGCUAUUAUUGAGCCUAAAGCGUCCGUAGCCGGUCUGAUAAAUCCUUGGGUAAAUCGGGCAGCUUAACUGUCCGAAUUCCGAGGAGACUGUCUGACUAGGGACCGGGAGAGGUCAGAGGUACUCCGGGGGUAGGGGUGAAAUCCUGUAAUCCUCGGGGGACCACCAGUGGUGAAGGCGUCUGACUAGAACGGAUCCGACGGUAAGGGACGAAGCCCUGGGGCGCAAACCGGAUUAGAUACCCGGGUAGUCCAGGGUGUAAACGCUGCAGGCUUGGUGUCGGGGGUCCUACGGGGCACUCGGUGCCGGAGAGAAGUUGUUAAGCCUGCCGCUUGGGGAGUACG
This 780-nucleotide ribosomal RNA is filed under the name uncultured archaeon. RNAcentral describes it as "bacterial SSU rRNA". It matches the Rfam family "Archaeal small subunit ribosomal RNA", at positions 53 to 839 of the family's 1478-position model. The record is from RNAcentral.